AGUGAACGCUGGCGGUAGGCCUAACACAUGCAAGUCGAACGGCAGCACAGUAAGAGCUUGCUCUUACGGGUGGCGAGUGGCGGACGGGUGAGGAAUACAUCGGAAUCUACUUUUUCGUGGGGGAUAACGUAGGGAAACUUACGCUAAUACCGCAUACGACCUACGGGUGAAAGCAGGGGAUCUUCGGACCUUGCGCGAUUGAAUGAGCCGAUGUCGGAUUGGCUAGUUGGCGGGGUAAAGGCCCACCAAGGCGACGAUCCGUAGCUGGUCUGAGAGGAUGAUCAGCCACACUGGAACUGAGACACGGUCCAGACUCCUACGGGAGGCAGCAGUGGGGAAUAUUGGACAAUGGGCGCAAGCCUGAUCCAGCCAUGCCGCGUGGGUGAAGAAGGCCUUCGGGUUGUAAAGCCCUUUUGUUGGGAAAGAAAAGCAGCAAGUUAAUACCCCGCUGUUCUGACGGUACCCAAAGAAUAAGCACCGGCUAACUUCGUG
This 492-nucleotide ribosomal RNA is filed under the name uncultured bacterium. RNAcentral's name for it is "partial 16S ribosomal RNA". It matches the Rfam family "Bacterial small subunit ribosomal RNA", at positions 29 to 507 of the family's 1533-position model. The record is from RNAcentral.